RNAcentral lists this transfer RNA (71 nucleotides) under Urobatis jamaicensis (yellow stingray). RNAcentral describes it as "tRNA-Lys". The record is from RNAcentral. Lineage: Eukaryota; Metazoa; Chordata; Chondrichthyes; Myliobatiformes; Urotrygonidae.
CAUUAAGAAGCUAAMCCGGCCUAGCAUUAGCCUUUAAGCUAAAACUGGUGACUCCCAAUCACCCUUAAUGA